RNAcentral lists this ribosomal RNA (492 nucleotides) under uncultured bacterium. RNAcentral's name for it is "partial 16S ribosomal RNA". It matches the Rfam family "Bacterial small subunit ribosomal RNA", at positions 29 to 507 of the family's 1533-position model. The record is from RNAcentral.
AGUGAACGCUGGCGGUAGGCCUAACACAUGCAAGUCGAACGGCAGCACAGUAAGAGCUUGCUCUUACGGGUGGCGAGUGGCGGACGGGUGAGGAAUACAUCGGAAUCUACUUUUUCGUGGGGGAUAACGUAGGGGAACUUACGCUAAUACCGCAUACGACCUACGGGUGAAAGCAGGGGAUCUUCGGACCUUGCGCGAUUGAAUGAGCCGAUGUCGGACUAGCUAGUUGGCGGGGUAAAGGCCCACCAAGGCGACGAUCCGUAGCUGGUCUGAGAGGAUGAUCAGCCACACUGGAACUGAGACACGGUCCAGACUCCUACGGGAGGCAGCAGUGGGGAAUAUUGGACAAUGGGCGCAAGCCUGAUCCAGCCAUACCGCGUGGGUGAAGAAGGCCUUCGGGUUGUAAAGCCCUUUUGUUGGGAAAGAAAAGCAGCAGGUUAAUACCCCGCUGUUCUGACGGUACCCAAAGAAUAAGCACCGGCUAACUUCGUG